RNAcentral lists this ribosomal RNA (272 nucleotides) under Escherichia coli. RNAcentral describes it as "partial 16S ribosomal RNA". It matches the Rfam family "Bacterial small subunit ribosomal RNA", at positions 173 to 449 of the family's 1533-position model. Lineage: Bacteria; Pseudomonadati; Pseudomonadota; Gammaproteobacteria; Enterobacterales; Enterobacteriaceae. The record is from RNAcentral.
AACGUCGCAAGACCAAAGAGGGGGACCUUCGGGCCUCUUGCCAUCGGAUGUGCCCAGAUGGGAUUAGCUAGUAGGUGGGGUAACGGCUCACCUAGGCGACGAUCCCUAGCUGGUCUGAGAGGAUGACCAGCCACACUGGAACUGAGACACGGUCCAGACUCCUACGGGAGGCAGCAGUGGGGAAUAUUGCACAAUGGGCGCAAGCCUGAUGCAGCCAUGCCGCGUGUAUGAAGAAGGCCUUCGGGUUGUAAAGUACUUUCAGCGGGGAGGAA